This is a non-coding RNA of Ameiurus melas (black bullhead), 75 nucleotides long. The record is from the annotation of a GenBank genome assembly. Lineage: Eukaryota; Metazoa; Chordata; Actinopteri; Siluriformes; Ictaluridae.
GGCAGUGGUAGCUCAGUGGAUAAGAACAUUGGCCUUUUCACCAGAAGGUCAUGAGUUGAAAUCCCAGCACUGCCA